UAGGGAAUAUUGGGCAAUGGGCGCGAGCCUGACCCAGCCAUGCCGCGUGCAGGAAGAAGGCGCUACGCGUUGUAAACUGCUUUUAUCAGGGAAGAAAACGCUCCUGCGGGAGUAACUGACGGUACCUGAGGAAUAAGCACCGGCUAACUCCGUGCCAGCAGCCGCGGUAAUACGGAGGGUGCAAGCGUUGUCCGGAUUUAUUGGGUUUAAAGGGUGCGUAGGCGGCUUUUUAAGCCAGAGGUGAAAGACUACAGCUUAACUGUGGCAGUGCCUUUGAUACUGGAGAGCUUGAGUACAGUUGAGGUAGGCGGAAUGCAGGGUGUAGCGGUGAAAUGCAUAGAUACCCUGCAGAACACCGAUUGCGAAGGCAGCUUACUAAGUUGUUACUGACGCUGAGGCACGAAAGCGUGGGGAUCAAACAG
Molecule: ribosomal RNA, 422 nt
Filed under: uncultured bacterium
Lineage: Bacteria
Description: bacterial SSU rRNA
Rfam family: Bacterial small subunit ribosomal RNA
Source: RNAcentral